GCAGGGGGCACCCUGAAUCCAGCCAUGCCGCGUGAGUGAAGAAGGCCUUUUGGUUGUAAAGCACUUUAAGCAGUGAAGAAGACUCCAUGGAUUAAUACCCAUGGACGAUGACAUUAGCUGCAGAAUAAGCACCGGCUAACUCUGUGCCAGCAGCCGCGGUAAUACAGAGGGUGCAAGCGUUAAUCGGAAUUACUGGGCGUAAAGCGAGCGUAGGUGGCUUAAUAAGUCAGAUGUGAAAGCCCCGGGCUUAACCUGGGAACGGCAUCUGAUACUGUUAGGCUAGAGUAGGUGAGAGGAAGGUAGAAUUCCAGGUGUAGCGGUGAAAUGCGUAGAGAUCUGGAGGAAUACCGAUGGCGAAGGCAGCCUUCUGGCAUCAUACUGACACUGAGGUUCGAAAGCGUGGGUAGCAAACAGGAUUAGAUACCCUGGUAGUCCACGCCGUAAACGAUGUCUACUAGUCGUUGGGUCCCUUGAGGACUUAGUGACGCAGCUAACGCAAUAAGUAGACCGCCUGGGGAGUACGGCCGCAAGGUUAAAACUCAAAUGAAUUGACGGGGGCCCGCACAAGCGGUGGAGCAUGUGGUUUAAUUCGAUGCAACGCGAAGAACCUUACCUGGUCUUGACAUAUCUAGAAUCCUGCAGAGAUGCGGGAGUGCCUUCGGGAAUUAGAAUACAGGUGCUGCAUGGCUGUCGUCAGCUCGUGUCGUGAGAUGUUGGGUUAAGUCCCGCAACGAGCGCAACCCUUGUCCUUAGUUACCAGCGGUUUGGCCGGGAACUCUAAGGAUACUGCCAGUGACAAACUGGAGAAGGCGGGGACGACGUCAAGUCAUCAUGGCCCUUACGACCAGGGCUACACACGUGCUACAAUGGUAGGUACAGAGGGCAGCUACACAGCGAUGUGAUGCGAAUCUCAAAAAGCCUAUCGUAGUCCAGAUUGGAGUCUGCACUCGACUCAUGAAGUAGAAUCGCUAGUAUCCCGAUCAAAAUGCCCCGGUGAAUACGUUCCCGGGCCUUGUACCC
This 1020-nucleotide ribosomal RNA is filed under the name Psychrobacter sp. Its description in RNAcentral is "bacterial SSU rRNA". It matches the Rfam family "Bacterial small subunit ribosomal RNA", at positions 371 to 1388 of the family's 1533-position model. The record is from RNAcentral. Lineage: Bacteria; Pseudomonadati; Pseudomonadota; Gammaproteobacteria; Moraxellales; Moraxellaceae.